UACGUAGGGGGCUAGCGUUGCUCGGAAUCACUGGGCGUAAAGCGCACGUAGGCGGGUUGUUAAGUCAGGGGUGAAAUCCUGGAGCUCAACUCCAGAACUGCCUUUGAUACUGGCAACCUAGAGACUGGAAGAGGUUAGUGGAAUUCCCAGUGUAGAGGUGAAAUUCGUAGAUAUUGGGAAGAACACCAGUGGCGAAGGCGGCUAACUGGUCCAGCACUGACGCUGAGGUGCGAAAGCGUGGGGAGCAAACAGG
RNAcentral lists this ribosomal RNA (253 nucleotides) under uncultured bacterium. RNAcentral describes it as "partial 16S ribosomal RNA". It matches the Rfam family "Bacterial small subunit ribosomal RNA", at positions 524 to 776 of the family's 1533-position model. The record is from RNAcentral.